UGCUCCUCGGGUGACGAGUGGCGGACGGGUGAGUAAUGUCUGGGGAUCUGCCCGAUAGAGGGGGAUAACCACUGGAAACGGUGGCUAAUACCGCAUAACGUCGCAAGACCAAAGAGGGGGACCUUCGGGCCUCUCACUAUCGGAUGAACCCAGAUGGGAUUAGCUAGUAGGCGGGGUAACGGCCCACCUAGGCGACGAUCCCUAGCUGGUCUGAGAGGAUGACCAGCCACACUGGAACUGAGACACGGUCCAGACUCCUACGGGAGGCAGCAGUGGGGAAUAUUGCACAAUGGGCGCAAGCCUGAUGCAGCCAUGCCGCGUGUAUGAAGAAGGCCUUCGGGUUGUAAAGUACUUUCAGCGGGGAGGAAGGCAGUGAGGUUAAUAACCUUAUUGAUUGACGUUACCCGCAGAAGAAGCACCGGCUAACUCCGUGCCAGCAGCCGCGGUAAUACGGAGGGUGCAAGCGUUAAUCGGAAUUACUGGGCGUAAAGCGCACGCAGGCGGUCUGUUAAGUCAGAUGUGAAAUCCCCGGGCUUAACCUGGGAACUGCAUUUGAAACUGGCAGGCUUGAGUCUCGUAGAGGGGGGUAGAAUUCCAGGUGUAGCGGUGAAAUGCGUAGAGAUCUGGAGGAAUACCGGUGGCGAAGGCGGCCCCCUGGACGAAGACUGACGCUCAGGUGCGAAAGCGUGG
This 690-nucleotide ribosomal RNA is filed under the name Pantoea allii. RNAcentral describes it as "bacterial SSU rRNA". It matches the Rfam family "Bacterial small subunit ribosomal RNA", at positions 78 to 764 of the family's 1533-position model. The record is from RNAcentral. Lineage: Bacteria; Pseudomonadati; Pseudomonadota; Gammaproteobacteria; Enterobacterales; Erwiniaceae.